This is an RNA transcript of Carlito syrichta (Philippine tarsier), 2244 nucleotides long. It is a transcript of the gene named basic proline-rich protein-like, with no coding region annotated. NCBI's taxonomy places the organism in Eukaryota, Metazoa, Chordata, Mammalia, Primates, Tarsiidae. The transcript has a single exon. The record is from RefSeq and is a predicted model, not a curated record.
GACUGUAGGGGACUCAUUGGCCAAAGUCAGACACGUGGACAGGGACGGAUGGCAAGGGACAGGGGCUGGGGCUGCGUCAACGUGGACAUGCAAACACGUGGGCACGCGAAUACGGCCCCCCAUCCAUGUGCUUGGGUGGGAGUGGACAGAUAGACUUGGACAUCAAAUCUGGACACCCACAGAGAAACGCCAGUGACACCCAGGGACAGAGGCAUGCCAUGGCAUCCCACGGCCCAGGCAGGAGGCCCCACCCCAGGCCCCACCCCAUCAUCCCUGUGCUCUCUGGGCCCCCAUACCCUGACCCCAGGCUCUCUGCAGAGCUCUCUCCGGGACCCUCGGGGGGUCUCCUUGCUGCCCACGAACACAGGCGCGCUCACGCAGCGUCCAUGCAUCCAGACACACAAUACCUCGGUCCACUCUGGCAUCAUGGAGGGCUGGAGGCAGCCACCCCCAAUACUUGAGGCCAAAGGACCCCCCCGUUCCCGGGGCUCAGCCUCCCUGGGCCGAGGCCUUGGCCCACGGAGCCGAGGGGGAGGCCCAGCCCUGAGCCUCCCCCACCAGGGCCCAGCCUCCCCAGCAGCAAGCCCCCAGCACCCCUGCCAGGCCCUGGUGGACAGGCCCAGGGGCCUGGCCCCAGACACCCUCCCUGUCCACCUGUCCCUUACCCCUUUCGGUUUGUUGGGUUUUUCGUCUUUCCAGAUGGGUGAGGGCAGUGUACACCGCCCCCCGCCAUUCCGAGCCCCAGCCCCGGCUUCUGUCUGGACCUGGCAUCUCCCUAGUUUUCUUUUUACAAAAUGAAUUCCAACAGAAGCCACAGGCCGGAGCUCCACCCUCGGGCCCAUCAGAACCGAGAACUGCAAAGCCCCUACUUUAGCUGUAGUUAAGUCAUCUCCCCCACGUCCCUCCCCUGCCCCCGGUGUCUGGCCUUGGUCCCUCUUGAGUGUCCAGCUCUCUCUCCCCCACCCCUCCCGGUGUUGUUAUUAAACGUCUGUGGAGCUUCUGCUGCAAGGAACAAAAAGAAAAAAAAAAAUCAAAAAAGCUACAAAAAAACACAAACAGAAGAGGAAAAAAAAAAGCGACAGAAAAAGAAAAAAACACACACACACAGAAGAGAUUUUUAAAAAAGGAAAAAAAAAGACAUAAACUGGCACCAGUUAACUUUCUUGUACUUUUUUGCUGAAUUUAGCUUCUUGUAGUUUUAACUUAUUGCUAUGUUAACUAUUUAUUGCCCUGUUGCCCUGUAAGGACAUUUGUGUAUAUUUCUGUUAUUUCAUCCAGUUUGCAAGUUAAAGGAACGACGAUGUUCUCUUUGUUUCUUUAAGUUUUGCCGAGAUGUGGUUAUGCCUAAUUUAUUUAUAAAAGGGGAAGUGGAGUCAUUAAAGUAAUAAUUAUUAAUAACAGUAAUGGUAGCCAUGUGGCACCCGGGGGCGUGUGCUCCGCGGGGCGGUCCCCGUGGCUGGCGACUGUCCCCCCCUCCCGGGGUCUCCAUGGGAUUAUUUUUGCUCUUGUCUUGAGAAUUUUUUCAGUCCUAUUUAGCUGGUGAAAACCCUAGCUUGUUCUUGAUACACGAACCUAUUUAUUCUUGUGGUUUUAAGUCCUCCCUGCCCUCGCCCCCUCCCCUCCAGCAGGGCGGGGACCACCCCCCUGCGGGUCCCCCCGUCUCCCCCGCUGUUUCUUGGGGCUUUCUCCCCUCCGCCCUCCGCACGCGUGCAGGAGGCGUCUGAGCAAUAAGGGCUGGGUUUGUCCCCCACCCUGGGGGGGCCAGGCUGCAGAGAGGGGGCAUCUCCCCACACCCCCCACAGAGGCCUAGGCCCCUGUCGCGACCCCCGAGACUGGGAGGGGGACUUCUUUUUCUAAAACACAAAACUCAGCCCAGCCAGGCCCCCUCCCUGGAGGCCAGCCCCUCACCCCUGGGGGCCAGGCCAGGGCUCCCAGAGAGGGGUCCUUGGGUCUUCCAAGACCCUGGGGGUAGGGCCAGGGCCGGGGGAGGGGGCUCAGCCCCUCCAGCCCUCCCUUCAUCCUGUUAUUUAUUCGGAAGGUUUCAAAUCACGACAAAGUCCAUGUUGGAGGUGAAAGAACUGUUAAAAAAAAAAGACAAAAAAAAAAACCCAACAAGAACACUUUGCGUUGCGUUUAGACUAUUUAUUACCGGGAUUACAGGCCUGGCCGCGGUAACAGACUUUUACAUGGAAUUGUUUAAUUAUUUGUACUUUUCAUGCCAGAAAAUAAAAGUUCAGAAUCUUA